RNAcentral lists this ribosomal RNA (484 nucleotides) under uncultured bacterium. RNAcentral describes it as "partial 16S ribosomal RNA". It matches the Rfam family "Bacterial small subunit ribosomal RNA", at positions 28 to 523 of the family's 1533-position model. The record is from RNAcentral.
GACGAACGCUGGCGGCGUGCUUAACACAUGCAAGUCGAACGGAAAGGCCCUGCUUUUGUGGGGUGCUCGAGUGGCGAACGGGUGAGUAACACGUGAGUAACCUGCCCUUGACUUUGGGAUAACUUCAGGAAACCGGGGCUAAUACCGGAUAGGAGCUCCUGCUGCAUAGUGGGGGUUGGAAAGUUUCGGCGGGUGGGGAUGGACUCGCGGCUUAUCAGCUUGUUGGUGGGGUAGUGGCUUACCAAGGCUUUGACGGGUAGCCGGCCUGAGAGGGUGACCGGCCACAUUGGGACUGAGAUACGGCCCAGACUCCUACGGGAGGCAGCAGUGGGGAAUAUUGCACAAUGGGCGGAAGCCUGAUGCAGCAACGCCGCGUGCGGGAUGACGGCCUUCGGGUUGUAAACCGCUUUCGCCUGUGACGAAGCGUGAGUGACGGUAAUGGGUAAAGAAGCACCGGCUAACUACGUGCCAGCCGCCGCCGUAA